GGAUUGUGGCUCAGCGGUAGAGCACUCACCUAAUACGUGUAAGGCCCUGGGUUUGAUCCUCAGACCA
RNAcentral lists this transfer RNA (67 nucleotides) under Marmota monax (woodchuck). Its description in RNAcentral is "tRNA.Ile". The record is from RNAcentral. Lineage: Eukaryota; Metazoa; Chordata; Mammalia; Rodentia; Sciuridae.